AGAAUCAACGCUGGCGGCGUGCCUAACACAUGCAAGUCGAACGAGAAAGUGGAGCAAUCCAUGAGUAAAGUGGCGACCGGGUGAGUAACACGUGACUAACCUACCUUCGAGUGGGGGAUAACCUAGGGAAACCUGGGCUAAUACCGCAUAAUACCUACGGGUCAAAGGAGCAAUUCGCUUUAGGAGGGGGUCGCGGCAGAUUAGUUAGUUGGCGGGGUAAUGGCCCACCAAGACAGUGAUCUGUA
Molecule: ribosomal RNA, 245 nt
Filed under: uncultured bacterium
Lineage: Bacteria
Description: partial small subunit ribosomal RNA
Rfam family: Bacterial small subunit ribosomal RNA
Source: RNAcentral